GUUAAUCUCUAACAGAAAUUGAGGACUAAUCAUUUUUUCCAGAUCCCAAAACAGAAAAUCAAGAAAUUCUCUCAAAUCCUCAAGAACCUCUCUUCAACUUUUGGCUUUGAACAUUGCUUCUUCUUGCGGAAACUCGAUUCCAAUCACCAAUACAAGUGCAUAUGAGGAUCUGUUGAAGGACUUUGGGAGCAAGAACCAGUUGGAAUCGUAACUGUCAUGAGCUUGGAGCUGCACAAAACAGUUGGAUCAUUCGCUGAAAUUAAGCACAAUUGAACCGUGAUUUUCACUUCAUCCAUCGAUUGGAGCAUAAACGCGUUUCUGUUUUCAUCUAUGGGACUCUGAAAUCAACGUUUCCACGGCUGUUGUUCAUCAAAGGUACCCUUUAGUCGCUCAGUUCUCUUAAGAACUCGCUUUGCUUUGCUUAAAUAGCAACUUGCAUUGAGGGGCUAAAAAGGAGUAGAGAUUUGGCAAAAGGUGAAGUUGACCUACGAGUUGGCAAUGGAGCAAAGGUUGUUGCUUUAGCUGUAGGAACAUAUGUAUUGACUUUACCUAAAGGUUGAUGCAUGUUAUGGGUUCUUUCUUCUCUUCAUACAAGACUAAGGGUUACUCCAUAUAUUUAUAGAUUUAGGUUAGCUUACUCCCUAAGCCAAAGCUCAAAGCUAUAAAGGCCCAAAAUAGUUAACACUACUAAAAAUAGGCCUAAGUUGAAAUCUUGUAUGAAGCAACAUGCUUCGACACUUCAACACACUAAUACAACUCAACACACUAGGUGAUUCGACACUUCACUGUUCUAUCGAGCAACCUGCUUUGAUACAAGGAAUUAUAACUCAACAAAACUAUAAAUCAAGACAAACACUUGAUCUGCUAUAAGUGUAGAUAAAUGAUAAGAUUCUGAUGUCAAUCCAUGAAGGUGAAAGUGUUCACCCCUAG
Long non-coding RNA from Lathyrus oleraceus (garden pea), 930 nucleotides. RefSeq lists it as uncharacterized. The transcript has 3 exons. The record is from RefSeq and is a predicted model, not a curated record. NCBI's taxonomy places the organism in Eukaryota, Viridiplantae, Streptophyta, Magnoliopsida, Fabales, Fabaceae.